RNAcentral lists this ribosomal RNA (842 nucleotides) under Lacticaseibacillus rhamnosus. RNAcentral describes it as "bacterial SSU rRNA". It matches the Rfam family "Bacterial small subunit ribosomal RNA", at positions 60 to 865 of the family's 1533-position model. Lineage: Bacteria; Bacillati; Bacillota; Bacilli; Lactobacillales; Lactobacillaceae. The record is from RNAcentral.
AGUCGAACGAGUUCUGAUUAUUGAAAGGUGCUUGCAUCUUGAUUUAAUUUUGAACGAGUGGCGGACGGGUGAGUAACACGUGGGUAACCUGCCCUUAAGUGGGGGAUAACAUUUGGAAACAGAUGCUAAUACCGCAUAAAUCCAAGAACCGCAUGGUUCUUGGCUGAAAGAUGGCGUAAGCUAUCGCUUUUGGAUGGACCCGCGGCGUAUUAGCUAGUUGGUGAGGUAACGGCUCACCAAGGCAAUGAUACGUAGCCGAACUGAGAGGUUGAUCGGCCACAUUGGGACUGAGACACGGCCCAAACUCCUACGGGAGGCAGCAGUAGGGAAUCUUCCACAAUGGACGCAAGUCUGAUGGAGCAACGCCGCGUGAGUGAAGAAGGCUUUCGGGUCGUAAAACUCUGUUGUUGGAGAAGAAUGGUCGGCAGAGUAACUGUUGUCGGCGUGACGGUAUCCAACCAGAAAGCCACGGCUAACUACGUGCCAGCAGCCGCGGUAAUACGUAGGUGGCAAGCGUUAUCCGGAUUUAUUGGGCGUAAAGCGAGCGCAGGCGGUUUUUUAAGUCUGAUGUGAAAGCCCUCGGCUUAACCGAGGAAGUGCAUCGGAAACUGGGAAACUUGAGUGCAGAAGAGGACAGUGGAACUCCAUGUGUAGCGGUGAAAUGCGUAGAUAUAUGGAAGAACACCAGUGGCGAAGGCGGCUGUCUGGUCUGUAACUGACGCUGAGGCUCGAAAGCAUGGGUAGCGAACAGGAUUAGAUACCCUGGUAGUCCAUGCCGUAAACGAUGAAUGCUAGGUGUUGGAGGGUUUCCGCCCUUCAGUGCCGCAGCUAACGCAUUAAGC